Molecule: non-coding RNA, 21 nt
Organism: Caenorhabditis elegans
Lineage: Eukaryota; Metazoa; Nematoda; Chromadorea; Rhabditida; Rhabditidae
Source: Ensembl
UUUUCAGCCAGUUGUUGUACA